This 301-nucleotide ribosomal RNA is filed under the name uncultured bacterium. RNAcentral's name for it is "partial 16S ribosomal RNA". It matches the Rfam family "Bacterial small subunit ribosomal RNA", at positions 509 to 809 of the family's 1533-position model. The record is from RNAcentral.
CAGCAGCCGCGGGAAUACGUAGGGUGCAAGCGUUAUCCGGAAUUAUUGGGCGUAAAGAGCUCGUAGGCGGUUUGUCGCGUCUGCUGUGAAAACUGGAGGCUCAACCUCCAGCCUGCAGUGGGUACGGGCAGACUAGAGUGCGGUAGGGGAGAUUGGAAUUCCUGGUGUAGCGGUGGAAUGCGCAGAUAUCAGGAGGAACACCGAUGGCGAAGGCAGAUCUCUGGGCCGUAACUGACGCUGAGGAGCGAAAGCGUGGGGAGCGAACAGGAUUAGAUACCCCCGUAGUCCCUGUCUCUUAUAA